RNAcentral lists this ribosomal RNA (253 nucleotides) under uncultured bacterium. RNAcentral describes it as "partial 16S ribosomal RNA". It matches the Rfam family "Bacterial small subunit ribosomal RNA", at positions 524 to 776 of the family's 1533-position model. The record is from RNAcentral.
UACGUAGGGUGCAAGCGUUGUCCGGAUUUAUUGGGUUUAAAGGGUGCGUAGGCGGCCUGUUAAGUCAGUGGUGAAAUCCAACAGCUCAACUGUUGAUGUGCCAAUGAUACUGACAGGCUUGAGUACAGACGAGGUAGGCGGAAUUGACAGUGUAGCGGUGAAAUGCUUAGAUAUGACAUAGAACACCAAUUGCGAAGGCAGCUCACUACACAAAUAUUGACGCUGAGGCGCGAAAGCGUGGGGAUCAAACAGG